UACGUAGGGGGCGAGCGUUGUCCGGAUUUAUUGGGCGUAAAGAGCGUGUAGGCGGCCAGGUAGGUCUGCUGUGAAAACUCGAGGCUCAACCUCGAGACGUCGGCGGAAACCAUCUGGCUAGAGUCCGGAAGAGGAGAGUGGAAUUCCUGGUGUAGCGGUGAAAUGCGCAGAUAUCAGGAAGAACACCGGUGGCGAAGGCGGCAUCCUGGACCGGCAUUGACGCUGAGGCGCGAAAGCUAGGGGAGCAAACGGG
Molecule: ribosomal RNA, 253 nt
Filed under: uncultured bacterium
Lineage: Bacteria
Description: partial 16S ribosomal RNA
Rfam family: Bacterial small subunit ribosomal RNA
Source: RNAcentral